RNAcentral lists this long non-coding RNA (289 nucleotides) under Ictidomys tridecemlineatus (thirteen-lined ground squirrel). RNAcentral describes it as "lncRNA (ENSSTOG00000032076.1)". The record is from RNAcentral. Lineage: Eukaryota; Metazoa; Chordata; Mammalia; Rodentia; Sciuridae.
CUCUUUUUUCUAAUUUCUAUUUAUUUGUUUUUGCAGUGCUGGGGAUGAAACCCACAGACUCCUGCCAUACUAGCAAGUGCUCUACCACUGAACUGUGCCCUCGGCCCAGUCCUGUCUUUUAAAAUAUCCAAAGACGAACUGAAAACUGAAAUGAAUGAAGAGGAGGCAAGGAGCCGGACUGCUUCUGAGCCCAUUCCAGAAAAAACAGUUGGCAUCAAUGACAGUGAUGUUUACUAGAAAACUAACCUGCUUCCAACAGACAGUAGACAAUGGCUAUCCAAUAAUGUAA